UACGAAGGGGGCUAGCGUUGCUCGGAAUCACUGGGCGUAAAGGGUGCGUAGGCGGGUCUUUAAGUCGGGGGGGAAAGCCCGAGGCUCAACCUCGGAACUGCCUUCGAUACUGCGGGUCUCGAGUCCGGGAGAGGUGAGUGGAAUUCCUAGUGUAGAGGUGAAAUUCGUAGAUAUUAGGAAGAACACCAGUGGCGAAGGCGGCUCACUGGCCCGGUACUGACGCUGAGGCGCGAAAGCGUGGGGAGCAAACAGG
RNAcentral lists this ribosomal RNA (253 nucleotides) under uncultured bacterium. RNAcentral describes it as "partial 16S ribosomal RNA". It matches the Rfam family "Bacterial small subunit ribosomal RNA", at positions 524 to 776 of the family's 1533-position model. The record is from RNAcentral.